GGAACGGAACAGAACAGAACAGAACAGUGCCCGGGCCGAGGGACAAAGGGGGAUAGGGCCUGGCAGCAGCUGGGACAGCAAGAGCCACGCCCAGGGUCCGUGGGAAGCAGAGGGCUCGGCCUGUGCUUUGCCGGUGGCUUUUUUUUGUUCUCAUCUAUGUCCCUCCUCAUCUUGUCCAUCGCCCGUUUUACCCCUUGCCCAGUGUUUAUACGGUCAGUCCACGAAAACCGUCGGGUUGUGCUAAACAAAACAUGUGGCUUGUGGAAGUGAAGAAUUGAGACAGAGCUGGAGGAGCAGAGCCUGUUCCCCGCAACGAGUCUGCAAAGCGACGGAUACCCACUGCCACUAAAAAUGAGGGGAAACUAAGAUGAAACUUUACCUCCAUAGAGAACUGGAUGCUGUCAUAUGGUCCUGUAUUCCUGUCAUCUCCCAUUCUAUAAUUCUGAGUAUCUGCAGACUAUUUGGAAGUAUGCUAUUUUGAUAGGUGCUUAUUACUUCAACUAGGACUGGUUAGUUUCUGGUGUGAUUCCUGUUUAUAAUUCUCAGGUUUCUUCUUUGCCCAUGGUGUCAUUUUAAAAUGAUAUUUGAAUAGUGAAAAGAUUUGUUAGAGAACAUGAGCACUGCAGAUAGAUACUGUUUAAAGCUAGGCUAGAGCAGAGGGAGCAUGAUGCUAAUUUCCCGUGACAACUAACUUGUCCAAACAAGCAGUGGAUAAGUGCCUGGACAUGUCUGUUAGCCAAAUACAGAUUCUCAGCAACCAUUGCACCUUGUAAAAAUUCCAGCAGUGGUUUGAAUCUAUAUAUUUGUGUGAUGAUGGAUUUUCAAGAUGAGUUUGUUAUCCCAAAGCUCAAGGUCUAGUGAGGAACAGCCAAGAAGCUGCCAGAAUUUUGCAGGGUGUGCUCUCUUCCUCUUAGAACUGGAAUUUCAAGGCAAACAGAAAUCUGGUUUAAGUGGAAAGUCCUGCUAUAGGCAAAGUCAGGUUAUCUGCUGCUUUCCACCCAGUAUUCCAGUUCCUCAGAUCCUUAGCUUCAUCAUUAGGAGGAAAUUCCAUCUACACAAAAAUGCUAGAGGAUCUAACCCAAUGGCUACGCUCAGUUGAUGUGACAUUGAACAGCAGUAUUAUUGAUGCUCAGUCUUGUCCUGAUGUGGCAUGAAGGGCAUUUAAUUCCUAUACAAAAUGCUUUUCCUGAACUGAAGCAAAACAAACCCAAAGUGUUUAUGUCCUUCUCCCAAGACUGUAUCACAUUAUUGAGCCAUGUCUUAAGCAUAGUGUCAUUUUGCUAAGGGUUGCGUGGAAAUUAAUGUGCCUUUUAAAUUAACAAUAAAUUUUCUACUGUGCAGGACUUCCAAA
Molecule: long non-coding RNA, 1351 nt
Organism: Pezoporus occidentalis (night parrot)
Lineage: Eukaryota; Metazoa; Chordata; Aves; Psittaciformes; Psittacidae
Exons: 2
Source: RefSeq, a predicted model, not a curated record